CCUACGGGAGGCAGCAGUGGGGAAUAUUGCACAAUGGGGGAAACCCUGAUGCAGCGACGCCGCGUGAGUGAAGAAGUAGUUCGGUACGUAAAGCUCUAUCAGCAGGGAAGAAAAUGACGGUACCGGACUAAGAAGCCGCGGCUAACUACGUGCCAGCAGCCGCGGUAAUACGUAGGGGGCAAGCGUUAUCCGGAUUUACUGGGUGAACAGGGAGCGUAGACGGCAGCGCAAGUCUGGAGUGAAAUCCCAGGGCUUAACCAUGGAACUGCUUUGGAAACGGUGCAGCUAGAGUGCAGGAGCGGUAAGCUGAAUUCCUCGUGUAGCGGUGUACUGCGUCGAUAUUAGGCGGACCCCCAGUGGCGAAGGCGGCUUACUGGACUGUAACUGCCGUUGCGGCUCGACAGCGUGGGGAGCAAACAGGAUUAGAUACCCGGGUAGUC
RNAcentral lists this ribosomal RNA (440 nucleotides) under uncultured bacterium. Its description in RNAcentral is "partial 16S ribosomal RNA". It matches the Rfam family "Bacterial small subunit ribosomal RNA", at positions 338 to 795 of the family's 1533-position model. The record is from RNAcentral.